This 454-nucleotide ribosomal RNA is filed under the name uncultured bacterium. RNAcentral describes it as "partial 16S ribosomal RNA". It matches the Rfam family "Bacterial small subunit ribosomal RNA", at positions 341 to 792 of the family's 1533-position model. The record is from RNAcentral.
ACGGAAGGCAGCAGUGAGGAAUAUUGGACAAUGGUCGGAAGACUGAUCCAGCCAUGCCGCGUGAAGGCAGACGGUCCUAUGGAUUGUAAACUUCUUUUGUACGGGAACAAUAAGGGUCACGUGUGGCCUGAUGAGAGUACCGUACGAAUAAGCAUCGGCUAACUCCGUGCCAGCAGCCGCGGUAAUACGGAGGAUGCGAGCGUUAUCCGGAUUUAUUGGGUUUAAAGGGUGCGCAGGCGGCACGUUAAGUCAGCGGUGAAAUGUCGGGGCUCAACCCGGGCACUGCCGUUGAAACUGGCGAGCUUGAGUACGGAUGAAGUCGGCGGAAUGUGAUGUGUAGCGGUGAAAUGCUUAGAUAUGUCACAGAACACCGAUUGCGAAGGCAGCUGACUAAUCCGCAACUGACGCUCAGGCACGAAAGCGUGGGGAUCGAACAGGAUUAGAUACCCUGGUA